This 253-nucleotide ribosomal RNA is filed under the name uncultured bacterium. RNAcentral's name for it is "partial 16S ribosomal RNA". It matches the Rfam family "Bacterial small subunit ribosomal RNA", at positions 83 to 334 of the family's 1533-position model. The record is from RNAcentral.
CUGGGUGGAUGAGUGGCGAACGGGUGAGUAACACGUGAGUAACCUGCCCCUUCUUUGGGAUAACGCCCGGAAACGGGUGCUAAUACUGGAUAUUCACUUGCCUUCGCAUGGGGGUUGGUGGAAAGGGUUUUUUCUGGUGGGGGAUGGGCUCGCGGCCUAUCAGCUUGUUGGUGGGGUGAUGGCCUACCAAGGCUUUGACGGGUAGCCGGCCUGAGAGGGUGACCGGUCACAUUGGGACUGAGAUACGGCCCAG